UUUCGAAUCAUUCACAAUGGGCGAAAGCCUGAUGGUGCGACGCCGCGUGAGGGAUGAAGGUCUUCGGAUUGUAAACCUCUGCCACCGGGGAAGAAACGCUUCAAGUUAACAGCUUGAAGCCUGACUUAACCCGGAGAGGAAGCAGUGGCUACCCCUGUGCCAGCAGCCGCGGUAAUCCAGAGACUGCAAGCGUUAUUCGGAUUCACUGGGCGUAAAGGGUGCGCAGGCGGUUGGGUGUGUCAGAUGUGAAAUCCCGAGGCUUAACCGCGGAACUGCGUCUGAAACUACUCGACUAGAGUACUGGAGAGGGUAACGGAAUUCACGGUGUAGCAGUGAAAUGCGUAGAUAUCGUGAGGAACACCAGAGGCGAAGGCGGUUACCUGGACAGUUACUGACGCUCAGGCACGAAAGCAUGGGGAGCAAA
RNAcentral lists this ribosomal RNA (424 nucleotides) under uncultured bacterium. Its description in RNAcentral is "bacterial SSU rRNA". It matches the Rfam family "Bacterial small subunit ribosomal RNA", at positions 355 to 772 of the family's 1533-position model. The record is from RNAcentral.